RNAcentral lists this ribosomal RNA (253 nucleotides) under uncultured bacterium. RNAcentral describes it as "partial 16S ribosomal RNA". It matches the Rfam family "Bacterial small subunit ribosomal RNA", at positions 524 to 776 of the family's 1533-position model. The record is from RNAcentral.
UACGUAGGGGGCAAGCGUUGUCCGGAAUCAUUGGGCGUAAAGCGCGUGUAGGCGGUUCGAUAAGUCUGCUGUGAAAGUCGGGGGCUCAACCCUCGAAAGCCGGUGGAUACUGUCGGGCUAGAGUGCGGAAGAGGCGAGUGGAAUUCCUGGUGUAGCGGUGAAAUGCGCAGAUAUCAGGAGGAACACCAAUUGCGAAGGCAGCUCGCUGGGACGUUACUGACGCUGAGACGCGAAAGCGUGGGGAGCAAACAGG